Molecule: long non-coding RNA, 535 nt
Organism: Suricata suricatta (meerkat)
Lineage: Eukaryota; Metazoa; Chordata; Mammalia; Carnivora; Herpestidae
Exons: 2
Source: RefSeq, a predicted model, not a curated record
UCUUUAUCCUUGAGAAUUAUUUGUAAAAACUCAGCUUUUUGAUGUCAUAAGUCUGUAAAUAAAGGCCCAAAACCUGGUGAGACAGGAGAUAAUAAAGAGGAGAUGAUAGAAGGAAGAAGAUGAUGCCAAGCUGGACCGAGAAAGUAACUGCGUGAAUCUCUCUUUCCCGUCCGCCACCACCCCUUCAGGGAGCCCUGGACCAGCAGAAGCAGGCCUCCGGCACAAAGCCCCCACACCUUCCAGGAUGGGAUAUGUGUGACACUCCUGGCUCCCCAAGAACAAAGGAAAAGGGAAAACAAAUGGUUAACUAAUAGAGAUCACAGUUCUACAGGACAAGAGUCUCCAUCAGUUUGCAACUGUCAUAAUGAUUUACAAGAAGAAAAGCAAUCUCCAGAAACCUAUAGUCUCAAUUUCCUGGAGCCCUAACAUCACACUCGCCUCCAUAGGAUGGAAAAUCUUAUAUAACCAGUCACUUAAACCCCAGUGCCCCUGGGUCCUGUCCCCUGCUAUAAUAAAAACACAGUUUUGCACCAAA